This 1576-nucleotide long non-coding RNA is filed under the name Danio rerio (zebrafish). RNAcentral's name for it is "lncRNA (ENSDARG00000117341.1)". The record is from RNAcentral. Lineage: Eukaryota; Metazoa; Chordata; Actinopteri; Cypriniformes; Danionidae.
CAAAAUUACACUGUAAAUAAAAUUAUUGUGGACACUGACAAUUAAAUAUUGACUCAACAAAUGAAUUCACAAUAAUAAGCCCCAAACGAAAAAAAAAAUCCACAUUAUUAAUUUUAGCUGUUGGUCUGAAGUAAAAAUAAAAAAUAUUCAUUCAUCAAACAUAAAACUGUGCUUUGGCAAUUUAUCAAAGAGCAGUGAAAAUUGUGUUUGUGUUUGGCGAACAAACCUUGCAGCAAAAGCGCGUGUACGCAUGCGCGUGAGAGUCGUUUGUUGGAUCAGGUUUAAAUUCCAGCGCAGCAAUCGCAGAGCUCCUCCGAAACAUCAUAUUCAGGCGAUUUUCCUUCAUCAAAGUUAUGGGCCAUUGGAAAACCACACAGCUACAAUGAAGAUGGGAAUCCUUGAAACAGUUAGCAUCAGGAGCAUGAUGAAGUUUAAGAGCCCUGUCAACUGUGCUGAAUGUCUGCUGUCCUGGAAGAGGAGAUGGUGCUCGACAAUAGGACGCUUUAUCAAUGCAUCGUUUGUGCUUUUGGAUUAUAGUAUCUACUCAACCUGGAAUACAAUGACUAAAUAGGUUUACAUGGUAAAUAUUUGAAAACAGAUGCAGCUUUAUGUGCUUGAAGUUCCUCUUGAAGAUUUUGUUUUACUUUUCUUGAAAUUUUUGUGAGUUUUUUUUCUGUUCUGGAAUCAUCUGUCAACUGGGUAAAGUAACCCAUUGUUUAGAUUUGAUAGUGCUUUUGACGAUUUUAAUAUUCAUUUAUUAAUUUUCCUUCAGCUUAGUCCCCUGUUUAUCAGGGGGAGCCACAGCGGAAUGAACCGUUCAUUGAUUAUAUGCAAAUAUAUUAGAUGUUUAAUGUUAAUGAAUGGGUUUAACCAUUAAAAAUGUAAUUUCAUAAGUUCAGAUUAUCUUUUGUAGAAUGAAAGUAUUCAGGUGACAACACUAAACAAUGGUUAAAGUAACCUCACAAAAAUACUCAAAUGUUAUGCUGUUUUUUUUUACAUUUUUGCAGAUAUUUGGGAUAUAUAUUAAGUACACUUCAGCUCUAUGUAUUAACCUUAUUCCUCACGUACGAGCAGGCGCAGCCAUUUGAAUCUUUUUGGCUGGAGAUUUCCGCUCUCAUUCACUUCCUUUGAUUUUUAGACGUUAAAAACUGUUUGUUUUGAUGCUUGAUGUUGCAAUCUGAUAUUUUCUUAAUAUAUUAUUCUGCUUUGUCUGUAGAGUCAUAAACACACUAGUUUGUAGAGCAAGUAGUUUGUCUGUUUUCCGCUGUUUAAUAUUCCUAGUCAUUUCUCCCAUAGGGCACUGAAUCAAAUGUUCUAAAACAAAUAGGAAAAACUUCCGCCUUAAAGAAUGAGGUCAAUAUUAGGAGAAAUAAAAUGCUAGAAUUUAUACGGUAUACUUUGUUGAAAUGUGUAAUGUAUUUGUUAUUCUAAAGUACUUUUACAAUAGUGUCUCUUUAAUAAAAAUAAAUAAAUAAAUGUGGCAGUGUUUAGUGUAUUAUGAUUUUGUUUAUUCUAUUAUUCAUUUUCUUUUGGGACAACGAGGAAUAAACAAUUCAGUAAAAUUGCUUUAGCAUUG